CAGCAGCAGCCGCGGUAAUACAGAGGGUGCGAGCGUUAAUCGGAUUUACUGGGCGUAAAGCGUGCGUAGGCGGCUUCUUAAGUCGGAUGUGAAAUCCCUGAGCUUAACUUAGGAAUUGCAUUCGAUACUGGGAAGCUAGAGUAUGGGAGAGGAUGGUAGAAUUCCAGGUGUAGCGGUGAAAUGCGUAGAGAUCUGGAGGAAUACCGAUGGCGAAGGCAGCCAUCUGGCCUAAUACUGACGCUGAGGUACGAAAGCAUGGGGAGCAAACAGGAUUAGAUACCCCUGUAGUCCCUGUCUCUUAUAA
RNAcentral lists this ribosomal RNA (304 nucleotides) under uncultured bacterium. RNAcentral's name for it is "partial 16S ribosomal RNA". It matches the Rfam family "Bacterial small subunit ribosomal RNA", at positions 506 to 809 of the family's 1533-position model. The record is from RNAcentral.